CCUGCACUGUGGGAUGAGGUAGUAGGUUGUAUAGUUUUAGGGUCAUACCCACAACUGGGAGAUAACUAUACAAUCUACUGUCUUUCCUAAAGCAGCAGA
Accipiter nisus (Eurasian sparrowhawk) is the source of this 99-nucleotide microRNA precursor. The record is from Ensembl. Lineage: Eukaryota; Metazoa; Chordata; Aves; Accipitriformes; Accipitridae.